Molecule: small nuclear RNA, 20 nt
Filed under: Arabidopsis thaliana (thale cress)
Lineage: Eukaryota; Viridiplantae; Streptophyta; Magnoliopsida; Brassicales; Brassicaceae
Description: snRNA_02062
Source: RNAcentral
CCUUUAAGUACUUUUUCGGG